This 275-nucleotide signal recognition particle RNA is filed under the name Catagonus wagneri (Chacoan peccary). RNAcentral's name for it is "Metazoan signal recognition particle RNA (ENSCWAG00000006144.1)". It matches the Rfam family "Metazoan signal recognition particle RNA", at positions 1 to 266 of the family's 299-position model. Rfam says of the family: The signal recognition particle (SRP) is a universally conserved ribonucleoprotein. It is involved in the co-translational targeting of proteins to membranes. The record is from Rfam by way of RNAcentral. Lineage: Eukaryota; Metazoa; Chordata; Mammalia; Artiodactyla; Tayassuidae.
GCUGGGUGUGGUGGCACACACCUGCAGUCCCAGCUAUUCAGGAGGCUGAGGCUGGAGGAUCGCCUGAGCCCAGGAGUUCUGGGCUGCAGUGCGUUAUGCCAAUCAGGUAUCCGCACUGUUUGGCAUCAAUAUGGUGACCCUCCGGGAGCGGGGAACCACCAGGUUGCAUAAGGAGGGGUGAACUGGUCCAGGUCAGAAACGGAGCAGGUCAGAAUUCAUAAAAAUAGAUAUUUAUAAAAGCAGUACCAUUCCAAAUAUGUAAAAAAAAAUCACAU